RNAcentral lists this ribosomal RNA (321 nucleotides) under Triticum aestivum (bread wheat). RNAcentral describes it as "partial small subunit ribosomal RNA". Lineage: Eukaryota; Viridiplantae; Streptophyta; Magnoliopsida; Poales; Poaceae. The record is from RNAcentral.
AUGUCGACGCGCUCCGCGAGCUCAGGACGGUGUUUCUCUCCUCUCCCACCCUCGUCUCCUUGGUUGAAAAGGAUCCAGAGAUCUCGCCGGCCACCGUUGAGUCAUCAUGGUAUAUGUAUCAUCGACCUCCUCUUCUAUUUGUUCACUUCUCCUAAUUCAUGCGCCCAUGAGCUCAAGCUCCGCGCCUUGCCUCUCUCGAACAUGACUGCUUCCACCCCUCUGGUGAAUUUACCUAUUUUUGAUAGACUAAUUUUUUUUGUGUCGUCAAGAGUGCAUCAGAUUAUUUGUGUUAUGAGUUUGGCAUCUAAACGGGGUUGGUAA